GACGAACGCUGGCGGCGUGCUUAACACAUGCAAGUCGAACGGAAAGGCCUGCUUUCCCUUGUGGAUUGCGGGUACUCGAGUGGCGAACGGGUGAGUAACACGUGAGUGAUCUGCCCCCAACUUGGGUAUAAGCCUGGGAAACUGGGUCUAAUUCCCGAUAGGACUGCAGGGUGGUGCCUGUGGUGGAAAACGAUUUUUUAGCGGUUGGGGAUGAGCUCGCGGCCUGUCAGCUUGUUGGUGGGGUAAUGGCCCACCGAGGCGGCGACGGGUAGCCAGCCUGAGAGGGUGGACGGCCACAUUAGGACUGAGAUACAGCCCAGACUCCUACGGGGGGCAGGAGUGGGGAAUGUUGCACCAUGGGCGGAAGCCUGAUGCAGCGACGCCGCGUGGGGGAUGACGGCCUUCGGGGUGUAAACGCCUUUCGGCCGCGAGGAAGCCACCUGGUUGGAAGGGUGGUGACGGUAGUGGUAGAAGAAGCACCGGCUAACUACGUG
Molecule: ribosomal RNA, 494 nt
Filed under: uncultured bacterium
Lineage: Bacteria
Description: partial 16S ribosomal RNA
Rfam family: Bacterial small subunit ribosomal RNA
Source: RNAcentral